Molecule: ribosomal RNA, 253 nt
Filed under: uncultured bacterium
Lineage: Bacteria
Description: partial 16S ribosomal RNA
Rfam family: Bacterial small subunit ribosomal RNA
Source: RNAcentral
UACGGGGGGGGCAAGCGUUGUUCGGAAUUACUGGGCGUAAAGGGCUCGUAGGUGGCCAACUAAGUCAGACGUGAAAUCCCUCGGCUUAACCGGGGAACUGCGUCUGAUACUGGAUGGCUUGAGUGUGGGAGAGGGAUGCGGAAUUCCAGGUGUAGCGGUGAAAUGCGUAGAUAUCUGGAGGAACACCGGUGGCGAAGGCGGCAUCCUGGACCAUUACUGACACUGAAAAGCGAAAGCCAGGGGAGCAAACGGG